Molecule: ribosomal RNA, 472 nt
Filed under: uncultured bacterium
Lineage: Bacteria
Description: partial 16S ribosomal RNA
Rfam family: Bacterial small subunit ribosomal RNA
Source: RNAcentral
GAUGAACGCUGGCGGCGUGCCUAAUACAUGCAAGUCGAGCGAACAGAUGAGGAGCUUGCUCCUCUGACGUUAGCGGCGGACGGGUGAGUAACACGUGGAUAACCUAACUAUAAGACUGGGAUAACUUCGGGAAACCGGAGCUACUACCGGAUAAUAUAUUGAAUCGCAUGGUUCAAUAGUGAAAGACGGUUUUGCUAUCACUUAUAGAUGGGCCAGCGGCGCAUUAGUUAGUUGGUAGGGUAAAGGCUUAGCAAGGCGACGAUCCAUAGCCGGCCUGAGAGGAUGAUGAGCCACAGUGGGACUGAGACACGGCCCAGACUCCUACGGGAGGCAGCAGUGGGGAAUAUUGGACAAUGGGGGAAAGCCUGAUCCAGUAAUGCCGCGUGAGUGAUGAAGGCCUGAGGGUUGUAAAGCUCUUUUACCAGGGAUGAUAAUGACAGUACCGGGAGAAUAAGCUCGGGCUAACUCCGUG